CGGGAGGCAGCAGUGGGGAAUAUUGGACAAUGGGCGAAAGCCUGAUCCAGCAAUGCCGCGUGAGUGAUGAAGGCCUUAGGGUUGUAAAGCUCUUUUACCCGGGAUGAUAAUGACAGUACCGGGAGAAUAAGCUCCGGCUAACUCCGUG
This 148-nucleotide ribosomal RNA is filed under the name uncultured bacterium. Its description in RNAcentral is "partial 16S ribosomal RNA". It matches the Rfam family "Bacterial small subunit ribosomal RNA", at positions 342 to 507 of the family's 1533-position model. The record is from RNAcentral.